AACGCACAUUGCGCCCCCUGGCAUUCCGGGGGGCAUGCCCGUUCGAGCGUCAUUAAAUCCAAUCAAGCCUGGCUUGGUAUUGGGCGUCGGGGUCUCCCGCGCCUCAAUUUCACCGGCGGGCCGUGGUCUGUCUUUUAACGUUGUGACGCAUAUUCGUUAAAAGCAGGCGCGGACUCCGCCGUCAAACUAAACAAAUUCCUCGGGAGAUUUGAUUAAGGUUGACCUCGGAUCGGGUAGGAAUACCCGCUGAACUUAA
This 256-nucleotide unclassified non-coding RNA is filed under the name uncultured fungus. Its description in RNAcentral is "sequence contains ITS2". The record is from RNAcentral. Lineage: Eukaryota; Fungi.